GAUGAACGCUGGCGGCGUGCCUAAUACAUGCAAGUCGAGCGAACGGACGAGAAGCUUGCUUCUCUGAUGUUAGCGGCGGACGGGUGAGUAACACGUGGAUAACCUACCUAUAAGACUGGGAUAACUUCGGGAAACCGGAGCUAAUACCGGAUAAUAUUUUGAACCGCAUGGUUCAAAAGUGAAAGACGGUCUUGCUGUCACUUAUAGAUGGAUCCGCGCUGCAUUAGCUAGUUGGUAAGGUAACGGCUUACCAAGGCAACGAUGCAUAGCCGACCUGAGAGGGUGAUCGGCCACACUGGAACUGAGACACGGUCCAGACUCCUACGGGAGGCAGCAGUAGGGAAUCUUCCGCAAUGGGCGAAAGCCUGACGGAGCAACGCCGCGUGAGUGAUGAAGGUCUUCGGAUCGUAAAACUCUGUUAUUAGGGAAGAACAUAUGUGUAAGUAACUGUGCACAUCUUGACGGUACCUAAUCAGAAAGCCACGGCUAACUACGUGCCAGCAGCCGCGGUAAUACGUAGGUGGCAAGCGUUAUCCGAAAUUAUUGGGCGUAAAGCGCGCGUAGGCGGUUUUUUAAGUCUGAUGUGAAAGCCCACGGCUCAACCGUGGAGGGUCAUUGGAAACUGGAAAACUUGAGUGCAGAAGAGGAAAGUGGAAUUCCAUGUGUAGCGGUGAAAUGCGCAGAGAUAUGGAGGAACACCAGUGGCGAAGGCGACUUUCUGGUCUGUAACUGACGCUGAUGUGCGAAAGCGUGGGGAUCAAACAGGAUUAGAUACCCUGGUAGUCCACGCCGUAAACGAUGAGUGCUAAGUGUUAGGGGGUUUCCGCCCCUUAGUGCUGCAGCUAACGCAUUAAGCACUCCGCCUGGGGAGUACGACCGCAAGGUUGAAACUCAAAGGAAUUGACGGGGACCCGCACAAGCGGUGGAGCAUGUGGUUUAAUUCGAAGCAACGCGAAGAACCUUACCAAAUCUUGACAUCCUUUGACAACUCUAGAGAUAGAGCCUUCCCCUUCGGGGGACAAAGUGACAGGUGGUGCAUGGUUGUCGUCAGCUCGUGUCGUGAGAUGUUGGGUUAAGUCCCGCAACGAGCGCAACCCUUAAGCUUAGUUGCCAUCAUUAAGUUGGGCACUCUAAGUUGACUGCCGGUGACAAACCGGAGGAAGGUGGGGAUGACGUCAAACCAUCAUGCCCCUUAUGAUUUGGGCUACACACGUGCUACAAUGGACAAUACAAAGGGCAGCGAAACCGCGAGGUCAAGCAAAUCCCAUAAAGUUGUUCUCAGUUCGGAUUGUAGUCUGCAACUCGACUACAUGAAGCUGGAAUCGCUAGUAAUCGUAGAUCAGCAUGCUACGGUGAAUACGUUCCCGGGUCU
RNAcentral lists this ribosomal RNA (1372 nucleotides) under uncultured bacterium. RNAcentral describes it as "bacterial SSU rRNA". It matches the Rfam family "Bacterial small subunit ribosomal RNA", at positions 28 to 1381 of the family's 1533-position model. The record is from RNAcentral.